This 229-nucleotide ribosomal RNA is filed under the name uncultured bacterium. RNAcentral describes it as "partial 16S ribosomal RNA". It matches the Rfam family "Bacterial small subunit ribosomal RNA", at positions 568 to 796 of the family's 1533-position model. The record is from RNAcentral.
UACGUAGGCGGAAAAUUAAGUCAGUAGUGAAAUCCUGCAGCUUAACUGUAGAACUGUUAUUGAUACUGGUUUUCUUGAAUAUAGUUGAGGUAGGCGGAAUGUGUAAUGUAGCGGUGAAAUGCUUAGAUAUUAUACAGAACACCGAUUGCGAAGGCAGCUUACUAAGCUAUGAUUGACGCUGAGGUACGAAAGCGUGGGGAGCGAACAGGAUUAGAUACCCUGGUAGUCC